GGGGGCAAUGGCCCAAGGGAUGAUUACAUAGAUAGCCCCUAGAAGUAAUAAUGUUAACCUGAACUAGAAACAGCUUCCUGACAAUUUUCCAAUUCAAAAGCUCUCUCUUCAUCUUCAGGAAAACUAGGGAAUCAAACCAAGCACCUUGAACAUGAGUUGAUCAGCAUCAAAAUCAUUGUUGGGAGUUGUCAAUAACUUCUCCCCAGUAAAGAUAGAAUUUGCACCAGCGAGAAAGCAGAGG
Molecule: unclassified non-coding RNA, 241 nt
Filed under: Hevea brasiliensis (rubber tree)
Lineage: Eukaryota; Viridiplantae; Streptophyta; Magnoliopsida; Malpighiales; Euphorbiaceae
Source: RNAcentral